UCGAUGUCGUCCAUUAAACAAAUCGGAAGCUUCGUCGGGUUGUUCAACGGUAGUAGACUUCAAUACAGCUUCAGAUGGAGUUCUCGGAGUUUUAACCACUGGUUCGACAUCCACAAAGAAGACCUUCAAAUUCGAUUACGUUUUCACACCAAAAGACAAUCAAGGUUCGUUCACUCAAAAACCUAAUUAGAUAACAAAUCAAUUCAAUGAUUUUGAAUUUCGAUUCAAUUUCGUUCGUGUACCUUAACCAGACGACGUUUUCGCGCAAGCUUCACCACUUGUAACUUCCGUUUUGGACGGAUACAACGUAUGCAUAUUUGCGUACGGACAAACCGGAACAGGGAAGACGUUCACCAUGGAAGGCACUUCUGGCAACCGCGGCGUCAAU
RNAcentral lists this long non-coding RNA (388 nucleotides) under Lactuca sativa (garden lettuce). Its description in RNAcentral is "long non-coding RNA (LSAT_LNC002400)". The record is from RNAcentral. Lineage: Eukaryota; Viridiplantae; Streptophyta; Magnoliopsida; Asterales; Asteraceae.